GAUGAACGCUGGCGGCGUGCCUAAUACAUGCAAGUCGAGCGAACAGACGAGGAGCUUGCUCCUCUGACGUUAGCGGCGGACGGGUGAGUAACACGUGGAUAACCUACCUAUAAGACUGGGAUAACUUCGGGAAACCGGAGCUAAUACCGGAUAAUAUAUUGAACCGCAUGGUUCAAUAGUGAAAGACGGUUUUGCUGUCACUUAUAGAUGGAUCCGCGCCGCAUUAGCUAGUUGGUAAGGUAACGGCUUACCAAGGCAACGAUGCGUAGCCGACCUGAGAGGGUGAUCGGCCACACUGGAACUGAGACACGGUCCAGACUCCUACGGGAGGCAGCAGUGGGGAAUCUUCCGCAAUGGGCGAAAGCCUGACGGAGCAACGCCGCGUGAGUGAUGAAGGUCUUCGGAUCGUAAAACUCUGUUAUUAGGAAAGAACAAAUGUGUAAGUACCUAUGCACGUCUUGACGGUACCUAAUCAGAAAGCCACGGCUAACUACGUG
RNAcentral lists this ribosomal RNA (497 nucleotides) under uncultured bacterium. Its description in RNAcentral is "partial 16S ribosomal RNA". It matches the Rfam family "Bacterial small subunit ribosomal RNA", at positions 28 to 507 of the family's 1533-position model. The record is from RNAcentral.